RNAcentral lists this ribosomal RNA (465 nucleotides) under uncultured bacterium. RNAcentral describes it as "partial 16S ribosomal RNA". It matches the Rfam family "Bacterial small subunit ribosomal RNA", at positions 28 to 507 of the family's 1533-position model. The record is from RNAcentral.
GAUGAACGCUGGCGGCGUGCUUAACACAUGCAAGUCGAACGAUGAAGCCCAGCUUGCUGGGUGGAUUAGUGGCGAACGGGUGAGUAACACGUGAGUAACCUGCCCUUGACUCUAGGAUAAGCCCGGGAAACUGGGUCUAAUACUGGAUAGGAACGUCUACCGCAUGGUGGGUGUUGGAAAGAAUUUCGGUCAUGGAUGGACUCGCGGCCUAUCAGCUUGUUGGUGAGGUAAUGGCUCACCAAGGCGACGACGGGUAGCCGGCCUGAGAGGGUGACCGGCCACACUGGGACUGAGACACGGCCCAGACUCCUACGGGAGGCAGCAGUGGGGAAUAUUGCACAAUGGGCGAAAGCCUGAUGCAGCGACGCCGCGUGAGGGAUGACGGCCUUCGGGUUGUAAACCUCUUUUAGUAGGGAAGAAGCGAAAGUGACGGUACCUGCAGAAGAAGCACCGGCUAACUACGUG